AGGGGCGUCGUUCAAUGGUAGGACGCUGGUCUCCAAAACCAGCAACGUGGGUUCGAUUCCCCCCGCCCCUGCCA
RNAcentral lists this transfer RNA (74 nucleotides) under Patescibacteria group bacterium. Its description in RNAcentral is "tRNA-Trp". It matches the Rfam family "tRNA". Rfam says of the family: Transfer RNA (tRNA) molecules are approximately 80 nucleotides in length. Their secondary structure includes four short double-helical elements and three loops (D, anti-codon, and T loops). The record is from RNAcentral.